RNAcentral lists this ribosomal RNA (466 nucleotides) under Vreelandella stevensii. RNAcentral describes it as "partial 16S ribosomal RNA". It matches the Rfam family "Bacterial small subunit ribosomal RNA", at positions 338 to 795 of the family's 1533-position model. The record is from RNAcentral. Lineage: Bacteria; Pseudomonadati; Pseudomonadota; Gammaproteobacteria; Oceanospirillales; Halomonadaceae.
CCUACGGGAGGCAGCAGUGGGGAAUAUUGGACAAUGGGCGAAAGCCUGAUCCAGCCAUGCCGCGUGUGUGAAGAAGGCCUUCGGGUUGUAAAGCACUUUCAGUGGGGAAGAAAGCCUUGGGGCUAAUACCCUCGAGGAAGGACAUCACCCACAGAAGAAGCACCGGCUAACUCCGUGCCACGCAGCCGCGGUAAUACGGAGGGUGCGAGCGUUAAUCGGAAUUACUGGGCGUAAAGCGCGCGUAGGCGGUCUGAUAAGCCGGUUGUGAAAGCCCCGGGCUCAACCUGGGAACGGCAUCCGGAACUGUCAGGCUAGAGUGCAGGAGAGGAAGGUAGAAUUCCCGGUGUAGCGGUGAAAUGCGUAGAGAUCGGGAGGAAUACCAGUGGCGAAGGCGGCCUUCUGGACUGACACUGACGCUGAGGUGCGAAAGCGUGGGUAGCAAACAGGAUUAGAUACCCGGGUAGUC